This is a long non-coding RNA of Lepidothrix coronata (blue-crowned manakin), 938 nucleotides long. RefSeq lists it as uncharacterized. The record is from RefSeq and is a predicted model, not a curated record. The transcript has 2 exons. NCBI's taxonomy places the organism in Eukaryota, Metazoa, Chordata, Aves, Passeriformes, Pipridae.
GAGGAAGCUAAGAAGUAACAGUAGAUUACAUAAAGCAGGGAAAUUCCCCUCAAACUUCUCCCAGACUACCUGGAACUGAAGCUGAUUUGCAUACAUACAGUACAAAUAACUUUGCAAUGGCUUCUAGCCCCAUGAAAGGGUUACAUGUGUUCAUCUGUAAUCCUUGAGGCCAGUUCCACCAGUUGAAUCACUCAGAGAAGAUAAAAAGAUUGAAUCAGAGCUUGUAUAGAAAUCUAAGCAGUUUUACAUAGCAUCAACCAACUUCACAUGAGGAUACAACUGGGUAAUGCUAUUCCACACAAAAUCAAUGGGAACUGUUCAAUACCUGUUAGUGACUAAUAGUUAUUCUAGAAAAACAGUGCAGAAAAAACCUGCCAACCUAUGUUAUGCUUUUUAAUUUGUGAGAAUGGAUGGGUAGUAGUAUCAUACUUCCACUAAAAGUGCAACUAAACUUCCUAUAUAAAUCCUGUUUGGUGGAAAAUGGACCUUACUGUAAACCAGAAAAAAAGCUAUGGUACUGUUGUAGUGGAAAACUAUGGUCAGCUGCUUUACAAAAUCUGAGACUCAUUUGGCCAGGAAUUCCUGGGUGAUGCUGUUCAAAAAGCAGUGGUGUUAAACAGACUUCCAGAACUCCUGUGAUUUUUUUAAACAUCAUGGUUUAACAGAAACAAGCAAGUGAGCAGAGGAGGAGGAUGACUGAGACACAUUUUCCUUUGACAACUUAUGUAACGGAAAGGAUCGAACAAAUUUAAUUUGGGAAGGAACCAAUCCUGCCCUGCAGCCCAUACGAGUGAGGAACACUGCCUUGAAAGAUACUUUACUUAGUGCUACUUUACCUAGCACUACUGGAGAGACUUCAAGCAAUACAUCCAAUCUAUAGAAAGACCAAUGGAAACUCCCCAAAGAAAAGAAUAAAUGACGACAUUGUUUUUCAAAAA